CUUUACUCCUGCUUGCGGAGGGAGGGCCGGGCGCUGGCCUGGGUCUGUUUUCCAGCCCAUCCUGGCCCUGAGGCGGUGUCAUCGAGACCCCUCUCUGUCACCUUUCCUGGGAGGGCCCCUGUCCGGGCUCGAGACGCCUCAGGCGAGGGGGAAUGAGGCCUUGGGGGAAACUUGCCUCCCUAUCUUCCCUCUGGGUAGGGGCAGAACCAGGUCAGGCCUGGACUUGUAGCCCUCUGAGGAUGCGGGUGAGGCUGGACACAGCUCAGAGGGGCCGGUGCCCGUGUGGCCCUGUGUAUCAGGUCUCCCGGGGCCUGGUUCUGUGUGCAUUUGUCCCACCCGGGUGCUGGGGGCUCGGACAGCCUGCGGCCAGAGGGAAACCAGAGCUCCCAGAAGGGUGGGCAGCGGAGGAUUAGGCUCCCUCCGGAGCCCUUCCCACGGGGUCCCCCACAGAAGACCUCCGUAGUCUUAGGGCCCUGGGCGCGGGGUGGGGCUGUCCUCCAGGAUGCGCUGUGGUGAUGGGGACUGAGGAGCCCUGGGUGCCACUCCUCAGAGAGGACCGGGGAGCCAGAGGGAGUCAGCCUCUGGGUAUCUCCCGCCCCCCACAGAGGGCGGGUAAUUAACGCUCAUUAGCACGCUGGGACCGGGAAUGGCUAACAGGAGAGAGUCCUUGUCAAGUGAGGGGCCUCAGGGCUUCGCUUUCCUGCUCAGCAUAAACGUUUCUCAGGUGCAGGUGCUUUUUCCCCACGCCUUCCCGGGGCCCGGGUCUGCCUUCUCCUGGUACAGAACCUGAACCCUGGCGGGGGGUGGGGUGGGGCUGGAAAGACGCAAGGCCAAAAGGGGUGUUGAGGAGUCGCCACACCAGGUGAGCACGAGGGACAAGGGGCAGGGGGACGUGCUCUUGGAAGGAGGUGGUGGUGGUGACCAAGGGCACGAUGGGAUGGGAGCCACUUGGUGGCCACCCAUCUCCCCCCACGCCCAGAGCCCCUGGGCACCGGUAGAGCGCAGUGUGGAAGCGGGCGGUCCUGCCCACCUCCUUGCUCAGGUCUGUUGAGGUUCGGGGGAGAAUGUCCAAGCGGCAGGGAGCUAGGAGCCACAGGGAGCCCUGGCCCUGGGAGGUCCCAGGCUCUGGUCCCCACACACCAGGUGGCCUUGAGGAUCCCGGUCUCCACAGACCUCUGGGCAGCCCUGGGGCCCAGCAGCAGCCUCUCUGAUUAGACCUGGAGGUCAGCAGGUCACAUUUGGCCCUGUCCCCCCUGUGUGCCCGCAGAAGGCCCUGUGAAGGAGGGGAGAGGGAACCACCUGUCCCCUUGAAGGACCCGCGUAGUCCGAGAGAGCUCAUUCCCUUGCCGGUCCCCAAAGCCUCACCCUCCGGGUUUCCUAGACUGCUGAUUGUUUCCUGCACCCCAUGCCAGGCCCAGAGGACAGGAAGUGAUGGAGGGAAUCAGCGUGCCACAGUGUGUGACCGUGGGUGAUGAAACUGGAUGUGUGUGAGAGGCUGGAGCGGGACCGUGUGGGUGGAUGGCGUGGGAGAGGAGCCCUGGUGUGUGUGACCGCACGCGAGGCUGGACGUGGGCGUGAGAGAAGCUGUCUGUGACUGUGAGGUCCGGUGUGUGAGCCUGAUAGGGUGAGUUCAGAAGAGGGCCGGCCAUGUGUCUUCCGUGUGUCCUUCUGGGUGUGUUUGUGAGGGACUGCCUGGUGGCAUUCCAUGUGAGGGCAUCACACUGGCCGGGUGCCUGCGGACGACACUGCUUUGUGCGAGGGACCCUGUGAUUGUGUGACACUGCCCGUAUCAGAGGCAGAACGAGUGACAUCGUGCAACGCAUGGUGCUGUGGUGACAACUCCUGAUGUGUGUGUGAAACCGUUUGUGCGGUGGCCUCAAGACUGACUCUGUGUGACACCAGGUGUGAGUGAAACCACAGGACUGUGACAGUGUGACACGCAUCAGGGCAUGGUGGGCAGGCUGAGCACCCGUGGUGAGGAGCUGUGAGUGCUGUGUGCAGGAGACACGGACCCCGAGAAGGCCUCCCCUAGUUGUGCAGCUGUGUGUGCAAGAAGGGAGCCGUGGGUGUGACAGGCUGGCUGUGUGGGUGGUCACUGCAUCAGCACGGGUGGGUGGCAUCCACAGGGGCUGUGCCAGGCAGGGCGUGGGACACUGCCACACGUGGCAGGCCUGGGGCCCCGCGCGGGGCAUCUGUGUGGAUGAUCACAAACAACGAUAGUGUGAAAAACAGAAUGUGCUCAGCUGCACACAGAAAAGUGGUUUGAGUGGCAAAUUUUAUGUAUAUCUUACCACAAUACAAUUAAGAAAAAAACACCAACCAGAAGAAGCCAGGAAAGAGGUGCGGGGUGGUGGCUGUGGCCUUGUGUGGCACAGGGCCGGCCACAGGAGCAGCAUAGAGGAAGUGUGUUCAUGUGGGGUUUUGUUGUUUUUUGGGUUUUUUUUUGGUACCGGGGAUCAAACUCGGGACCUUGCGCUUAUGAGGCAGGCGGUGGAACCACUGAGCUAAAUCCCCGGCCCCAGGAAGUGUGUUCAUAGAGGACACUGUGACCCUUUUGGUGGGCAGAGUGGCCGGAGGGGCUGGUGGCAGCGCAGUGGGUGACCAGGGGACCUGGAGGGGGCCUGAGAUGGCGCCCAUCAACAUGCUAAGUAAGAACCGGGGCCCUAGCCUGGCCCCCGCUGGGGACGUGGGAGCCCCUCCCUGGCAGUGGGAUGAGAGGCCCAGAGGACCAGACCCUCCGGAGAGGGCCUGACCCCUUCCCUUGCUGCUCUGGGAGGGGCAGCAGCGGGUAAGACUUGGGGAAGAGAGCCUGGGGGGGGCAGUCCCGCCCCCCCACAGCUCCCGAGAAAGCCCUCACCCCAGUGGUGCUGAGGGGUGACUCUCUUCCCAAAUUGGAAGCACGUGAAUGAGCCCAGCGGGAUGCGCCCUCUCACCCCCAUGGGCUCUGCAAAUUGCUUCCUCCUGUGGAAAUCUUCAUCCUCCUCCCCAGCCUGGCAGGGUGUGGCCCCUUGGCAGGGUCCCCUGGGGUCCUUGGGCUGGAGGUGGGGGAGACAGACACCAUCCCCACCCCCUCUCCGAGCCCAGAAUGGGCCGACCGGCCGGCCGCUUCCAGGGUAGGAGCCUCUGGCAGCUGGAGAACAGCUGGCGGGUGGCAGGCAGCGGGAGGGAGGCUGGGGGGUGGGGAGGCUGCAGGCCUCCUCUUUCCCCAUCCUUCACCCCAUGGCUCGGUGCCCAGGGCAGGCCCGGGAUGCCCAGGGGACUGUGGGGUUCUCUGUCUUCCUGCCACCUUGAGCAGUACCGCCUCAAAGCCGGAGCACCUGGGCCAGGGUCCCUGCAGGGGUGGGUGGUAGCUGCCUGCAGGGCCUGAUAAGGCCCCAGUUCAGCCUUGGCUCCCCAUGGGGCUGCAGAGGUGCCGCCUGCCAGGUCACCUUGUCCCAUCUAUGUCCCCCACUGUGGCAGCUGCUCAGGGGAACCCCACACUUCAGGUUGGUGCCCCAUCCCCCUCAAAAGGGAGCUCUGGGGCUGGGUGGUCUGGAGUCUGGGGCCUCUGGGGUCUGGGGGGCCAGGACCUCUGUAGCAGCCCCCAACUCUGGCCUCCAUUCCUGGAGCCAUCUGGCCAGUUCUGCCAGCAGACCCGGGGGGGGGGCAGCGAGGCACCCCGUAUCUCCCCAGAGCUCGGCCUGCUCUCCCAGCCUUCCGAGACCCUGACCCUGCCACCACUCAGUGGUACUUCUGACCCCAGAAGGCUGAGGCCUGGGAGCCAGGCUUAGGUGUGCCGGCCGGCCGAGGUGGGACAGGCCUCAGUUUCCCUCAACCGAGUGGGCAUCGCCUUUGGCUUCCCUGCCCCCAUCUGGUGAGGCCCAGAUGGACCAGGUGCUGCCCAACGCGUGCCAUGUACACGCACGGUCUGGGCGUCCUCACUGCUGCUCUUGCGCUCUGCAGCUCUGGUCUGCGUGUUGGAGCGGUCGCUGUGGCUGGGAUGGCGUAGUGAGCUCAGUUGAGUUCUCACCCCCACCCCAGGCCCUUAACUCGUCUUGCGGCAGGGUG
Molecule: long non-coding RNA, 4047 nt
Filed under: Heterocephalus glaber (naked mole-rat)
Lineage: Eukaryota; Metazoa; Chordata; Mammalia; Rodentia; Bathyergidae
Description: lncRNA (ENSHGLG00000045097.1)
Source: RNAcentral